RNAcentral lists this microRNA precursor (112 nucleotides) under Marmota monax (woodchuck). The record is from RNAcentral. Lineage: Eukaryota; Metazoa; Chordata; Mammalia; Rodentia; Sciuridae.
AGUAAAAUUGCUGGGUUGUAGUGGGAAGUAUGUUUAAAGUAGGUUUAACUUUAUGAGAAAUUACCAGAUUAUUUCCAAAGUAGCUAGACCCUUUUAGAUUCCCACCAUUAGU